GGAUGUGCCCAGAUGGGAUUAGCUAGUAGGUGGGGUAACGGCUCACCUAGGCGACGAUCCCUAGCUGGUUAGAGAGGAUGACCAGCCACACUGGAACUGAGACACGGUCCAGACUCCUACGGGAGGCAGCAGUGGGGAAUAUUGCACAAUGGGCGCAAGCCUGAUGCAGCCAUGCCGCGUGUA
This 183-nucleotide ribosomal RNA is filed under the name Shimwellia blattae. RNAcentral's name for it is "partial 16S ribosomal RNA". It matches the Rfam family "Bacterial small subunit ribosomal RNA", at positions 223 to 405 of the family's 1533-position model. The record is from RNAcentral. Lineage: Bacteria; Pseudomonadati; Pseudomonadota; Gammaproteobacteria; Enterobacterales; Enterobacteriaceae.